This 462-nucleotide ribosomal RNA is filed under the name uncultured organism. RNAcentral describes it as "bacterial SSU rRNA". It matches the Rfam family "Bacterial small subunit ribosomal RNA", at positions 28 to 507 of the family's 1533-position model. The record is from RNAcentral.
GACGAACGCUGGCGGCGUGCUUAACACAUGCAAGUCGAACGGUAAGGCCCUUCGGGGUACACGAGUGGCGAACGGGUGAGUAACACGUGAGUAACCUACCCUUGACUCUGGGAUAACAGGCGGAAACGUCUGCUAAUACCGGAUACGAACCUUGGAGGCAUCUCCCAGGUUGGAAAGCUCCGGCGGUCAUGGAUGGACUCGCGGCCUAUCAGCUUGUUGGUGAGGUAACGGCUCACCAAGGCUUCGACGGGUAGCCGGCCUGAGAGGGCGACCGGCCACAUUGGGACUGAGAUACGGCCCAAACUCCUACGGGAGGCAGCAGUGGGGAAUAUUGCACAAUGGGCGCAAGCCUGAUGCAGCAACGCCGCGUGCGGGAUGACGGCCUUCGGGUUGUAAACCGCUUUCAGCAGGGACGAAGUGAAAAUGACGGUACCUGCAGAAGAAGCACCGGCUAACUACGUG